UACGAAGGGGGCUAGCGUUGCUCGGAAUUACUGGGCGUAAAGCGCACGUAGGCGGAUCGUUAAGUCGGGGGUGAAAUCCUGGAGCUCAACUCCAGAACUGCCUUCGAUACUGGCGAUCUCGAGUUCGGGAGAGGUGAGUGGAACUGCGAGUGUAGAGGUGAAAUUCGUAGAUAUUCGCAAGAACACCAAUGGCGAAGGCAGCUCGCUGGGACGUGACUGACGCUGAGACGCGAAAGCGUGGGGAGCAAACAGG
This 253-nucleotide ribosomal RNA is filed under the name uncultured bacterium. RNAcentral's name for it is "partial 16S ribosomal RNA". It matches the Rfam family "Bacterial small subunit ribosomal RNA", at positions 524 to 776 of the family's 1533-position model. The record is from RNAcentral.